GACGAACGCUGGCGGCAUGCCUAACACAUGCAAGUCGAACGAGACCUUCGGGUCUAGUGGCGCACGGGUGCGUAACGCGUGGGAACCUGCCCUUAGGUUCGGAAUAACUCCCCGAAAGGGGUGCUAAUACCGGAUAAUGUCUUCGGACCAAAGGUUUAUCGCCUUUGGAUGGGCCCGCGUUGGUUUAGCUAGUUGGUAGGGGAAAAGCCUACCAAGGGGACGAUCCAUAGCUGGUCUGAGAGGAUGAUCAGCCACACUGGGACUGCGACACGGCCCAGACUCCUACGGGCGGCAGCAGUGGGGAAUAUUGGCCCAUGGGCGAUAGCCUGAUCCAGCAAUGCCGCGUGAGUGAUGAAGGCGUUAGGGUUGUAAAGCUCUUUUAACCGGGAUGAUAAUGACAGUACCGGGAGAAUAAGCGCCGGCUAACUCCGUG
This 433-nucleotide ribosomal RNA is filed under the name uncultured bacterium. RNAcentral's name for it is "partial 16S ribosomal RNA". It matches the Rfam family "Bacterial small subunit ribosomal RNA", at positions 28 to 507 of the family's 1533-position model. The record is from RNAcentral.